UACGGAGGGUGCAAGCGUUAUCCGGAUUUACUGGGUUUAAAGGGUGCGCAGGCGGAUAUGUAAGUCAGUGGUGAAAUCUCCGGGCUUAACCCGGAAACUGCCGUUGAUACUAUAUAUCUUGAAUGCUGUGGAGGUAAGCAGAAUAUGUCAUGUAGCGGUGAAAUGCUUAGAGAUGACAUAGAAUACCUAUUGCGAAGGCAGCUACUAAGCAGAUAUUGACGCUCAUGCACGAAAGCGUGGGGAUCAAACAGG
RNAcentral lists this ribosomal RNA (252 nucleotides) under uncultured bacterium. RNAcentral's name for it is "partial 16S ribosomal RNA". It matches the Rfam family "Bacterial small subunit ribosomal RNA", at positions 524 to 776 of the family's 1533-position model. The record is from RNAcentral.